AUGACACGAGUCCUAAUGGACGGUGGUAGCAGCCUCAACCUGCUCUAUCAGGAUACAGUACGCAAAAUGGGCAUUAAUCCCUCACGAAUCAAGCCCACGAUAACUACCUUUAAAGGAGUUAUACCAGGCGUAGAGGCCCGUUGUACGGGCUCAAUCACGCUGGAGGUGGUCUUCGGUUCCCCGGAUAACUUCCGAAGCAAAGAGCUAAUCUUUGAUAUUGUCUCCUUCCGGAGCGGCCACCACACACUGCUCGGACGAACCGUGUUUGCCAGAUUCAACGCGGUGCCACAUUAUGCUUAUCUCAAGCUCAAGAUGCCCGGUCCACGCGGCGUCAUUACAGUAAAUGGAAACACGGAAUGUUCCCUCCGUACAGAGGAGCAUACCGCAGCCCUUGCAGCAGAAGUACAGAGCGGCCUUCUCAAGCGGCACCAUAAGCCGGCCGCUGAGCCCCUGGACAUCGUUAAGAAGGUCCGGACUACACUGCAACAGGGCAUCUCGGUUCGUCAAGAGCUGAAUUAG
This 519-nucleotide ribosomal RNA is filed under the name Triticum aestivum (bread wheat). RNAcentral describes it as "partial small subunit ribosomal RNA". Lineage: Eukaryota; Viridiplantae; Streptophyta; Magnoliopsida; Poales; Poaceae. The record is from RNAcentral.